Molecule: long non-coding RNA, 580 nt
Organism: Cephus cinctus (wheat stem sawfly)
Lineage: Eukaryota; Metazoa; Arthropoda; Insecta; Hymenoptera; Cephidae
Exons: 2
Source: RefSeq, a predicted model, not a curated record
AAUUAUGAAUCUGAUUAGCGUUAACUGAAAGACUCAUAAGGUCUUCGAGUUCUGUCAAACGUCCGUCCGCUGGCGUCAUUCAAAGAAUGCUAAGUGCGCGGCGAGCAGUGUUUAACUGAGUUCGAUAAAUGAUGAACGUUUUGCAGGUUAAGAGUAGCGUAACGUGCGACUGUCCGUCAUGGUGAAAUUUUCUGUGCUAAGGCCAACGGGUUGAUUAUAUUAUUGUUUGGUGCUUUGUUUCCAGGAACGGUUAAGCCUUCAGUGACUGAGGCGAAUUUUAAUUUUGAUAUUGAAUCUAUAGUUGUGUAUCGUGUAUGGCGUUGCCACAUUGCCGUGACCAGGAUUCGAACCUGGGUUACUACGGCCACAACGUAGGGUCCUAACCACUAGACGAUCACGGCUAUUGGAAGAAUUGAGAAUAAUGAAAGUCAAUUCAUUGAAGUACUGCUCGAAUUACAUAAAUCGUCAAAUCCUUGUGUAAUUGAUUAGUUUAGUGAAAGUAGUUAUACUUGAUGUAUAAGUGAACAAUAAAACGACAAUAUCUUAAAUAUAAUAAAUAUUUAACUGAAUCAAAUUUAAA